This is a long non-coding RNA of Salvelinus sp. IW2-2015, 216 nucleotides long. RefSeq lists it as uncharacterized. The transcript is spliced from 3 exons. Lineage: Eukaryota; Metazoa; Chordata; Actinopteri; Salmoniformes; Salmonidae. The record is from RefSeq and is a predicted model, not a curated record.
GCCUACUCGUUUGGAGAGAACAAACUGGGCCAGCUGGGCCAGGGCAACCAAACAGAUGCAGUCCUCAGUCCAGCCCUGAUCCAGUACAAUGGGCAGCCCUUGGUCAAGGUGGCGUGUGGGGCAGAGUUCAGCAUGGUGGUGGACUGCAAAGGAAUCCUCUACUCGUUCGGGUGCCCAGAGUAUGGCCAGCUAGGACACAACUCUGAUGGCAAGUUC